Molecule: transfer RNA, 76 nt
Filed under: Sinimarinibacterium arenosum
Lineage: Bacteria; Pseudomonadati; Pseudomonadota; Gammaproteobacteria; Nevskiales; Nevskiaceae
Also listed under: 1 other name
Description: Sinimarinibacterium sp. CAU 1509 tRNA-Arg
Rfam family: tRNA
About the family: Transfer RNA (tRNA) molecules are approximately 80 nucleotides in length. Their secondary structure includes four short double-helical elements and three loops (D, anti-codon, and T loops).
Source: RNAcentral
GCCCUUGUAGCUCAGUGGAUAGAGCAUCCGCCUCCUAAGCGGAGGGUCGCAGGUUCGAUUCCUGCCAAGGGCACCA